GAUGAACGCUGGCGGCGUGCCUAAUACAUGCAAGUCGAGCGAACGGACGAGAAGCUUGCUUCUCUGAUGUUAGCGGCGGACGGGUGAGUAACACGUGGAUAACCUACCUAUAAGACUGGGAUAACUUCGGGAAACCGGAGCUAAUACCGGAUAAUAUUUUGAACCGCAUGGUUCAAAAGUGAAAGACGGUCUUGCUGUCACUUAUAGAUGGAUCCGCGCUGCAUUAGCUAGUUGGUAAGGUAACGGCUUACCAAGGCAACGAUGCAUAGCCGACCUGAGAGGGUGAUCGGCCACACUGGAACUGAGACACGGUCCAGACUCCUACGGGAGGCAGCAGUAGGGAAUCUUCCGCAAUGGGCGAAAGCCUGACGGAGCAACGCAGCGUGAGUGAUGAAGGUCUUCGGACCGUAAAACUCUGUUAUUAGGGAAGAACAUAUGUGUAAGUAACUGUGCACAUCUUGACGGUACCUAAUCAGAAAGCCACGGCUAACUACGUG
Molecule: ribosomal RNA, 497 nt
Filed under: uncultured bacterium
Lineage: Bacteria
Description: partial 16S ribosomal RNA
Rfam family: Bacterial small subunit ribosomal RNA
Source: RNAcentral